AUGAGCGGGAUGAUCUCGUCCACCACCUGCUUGAACUCCUGCGCCUCCAGGGACAUGUCCAUCGCCACGUCCCUGCGCUCCGUCUUCCUCUACGACAACAACCUCACCGGCGCCUUCCCGCCGGCGCUCGGGCGCUGCAGGCAGCUGCAGCGGCUGCUCCUUGCAAACAAUGGGUUCUCCGGUCACAUACCGGCCGCCGCCUUGCCGCAGAUGGAGAGCCUGCAAGUGCUCGACCUGUCGUCCAACUCCCUCACGGACGCCAUCCCGCCUGAGCUCGGCAAGCUCCAGGCGCUGGCCGGCACACUGAACAUCUCCCGCAACCGCCUCUCCGACGCGGUGCCGCCGGAGCUGGGACGUCUCCCGGCGACCGUCACCCUCGACCUCCGCUUCAACAACCUCUCC
RNAcentral lists this ribosomal RNA (402 nucleotides) under Triticum aestivum (bread wheat). RNAcentral describes it as "partial small subunit ribosomal RNA". Lineage: Eukaryota; Viridiplantae; Streptophyta; Magnoliopsida; Poales; Poaceae. The record is from RNAcentral.